UGCGGUUAUACAAAAGUUAAAUUAAAUUUUUUUAGGAUUUAAUAAAUAAAAUUAUUAAAUAAUGUAAAUUUUAAAUUAUAAGGUGAAAUUUUAAUUUAAUUAAAAGUUAUUUAUUUUUAUGAUAUUAAUAAAUUUUAUAAAAAACUAGGAUUAGAUACCCUAUUAUAAAAAUUUAAAUUUUAUAAUCUUAAAAUAGUAUGUAAAUUUUUAUAGAAACUUAAAUAAUUUGGCGGUAUUUUAGUUCAUUUAGAGGAAUCUGUCUAAUAAUUGAUAAUCCACGAUUAAAUUUACUUAAUUUAUAAUUUUGUAUAUCGUUGUUAAAAAAAUAUUUUUAAAUGAAUUUAAUAUUUUAAAAUUUAUAUAAAAAAUUAAAUCAGAUCAAGAUGCAGAUUAUAAUUAAGAAUAUGAUGGAUUACAAUAAAUUUAUUUAUUUUGGAUAUUAAUUUGAAAUAAAUUAAUUGAAAUUGGAUUUAAAUGUAAUUUUAUUAAUUUUGUUAAAAUGAUUGAAAAUUAAAAUAUGUACAUAUUGCCCGUCGCUUUCAUUAAUAAAUUGAAAUAAGUCGUAACAAAGUAGAGGUACUGGAAAGUGUUUCUAGAAAGAU
RNAcentral lists this ribosomal RNA (602 nucleotides) under Zygaena anthyllidis. Its description in RNAcentral is "partial 12S ribosomal RNA". The record is from RNAcentral. Lineage: Eukaryota; Metazoa; Arthropoda; Insecta; Lepidoptera; Zygaenidae.